Molecule: long non-coding RNA, 445 nt
Filed under: Gossypium barbadense (sea-island cotton)
Lineage: Eukaryota; Viridiplantae; Streptophyta; Magnoliopsida; Malvales; Malvaceae
Description: long non-coding RNA (GBAR_LNC015439)
Source: RNAcentral
CCUAUCGAGGUUGAUAUUGGCUGGCUGUGAUGAGGAAGUGAUAAGAGAUAUGAUCAUAAACUUCAUCAUGGCAGGAAGGGAUACAACUUCAGCAGCAAUGACAUGGCUCUUCUGGUUGCUUUCAUGCCAUCCAGUUAUAGAGCAAGAACUGCUGAAAGAGAUACAGAGAAAUGAUAAAAGAUUGUCAGAUUAUGAAUCAUUGGAGGGAUUGAAAUUGUUGAAAGCCUCUCUUUGUGAGUCCAUGAGGCUCUACCCGCCGGUAGCUUGGGACUCAAAGCAUGCCAUGGUGGAUGAUAUGUUACCUGAUGGUACUUUAGUCCAGGCAGGGGAUAGGGUAACCUAUUUUCCCUAUGGAAUGGGGAGGAUGGAAGCGUUAUGGGGGAAGGACUGCAUCGAGUUCAGACCGAGCCGGUGGUUUAUUGAACCAAGUCACCAGGGAGGAUCA